GCAAUCCGCCUGCGCGCUGGGCGGGGCGGGGUGUGAGCCGACCGCGGGCGCUGGGCGGGUCCGCGGCGCGGUCGGUCGGCGCCUAUUCUCGGGCUGUUUGGCGGACGAAGCUUCACAAAAGAUGUCUAAGCAACAGCCAACUCAGUUUAUAAAUCCAGAAACACCUGGCUAUGUUGGAUUUGCAAAUCUCCCCAAUCAAGUUCACCGAAAAUCAGUGAAAAAAGGUUUUGAGUUCACACUGAUGGUGGUCGGUGAAUCAGGUCUAGGAAAAUCGACUCUCAUAAACAGCCUAUUCCUAACUGAUCUGUACCCAGAAAGAGUCAUACCUGGAGCAGCAGGUAAAAACAUUCUUAUGUUACUGUAAGUGUAAUUCUACAUGAAAGAUGCUGAAGACUGCCUAAUUAAUAUUUUAUUUCUUAGCUGUGUGUUUUGUUUGUUCUUGUUCAGCUUUGAACACAAGGAAAACACUUUUAUGGGGUAGGUGUGCUGCACUGAGGUCCUUGGAUAUUUGGGUUGUAGACUUUCUUUGACACGUAUCCAUGGAUCCAUCCUCUCUUGAGUUUAUUUUGUCUGUAAAAUGUAAUAAGUAGUUUCUGCCUAUAUUAAAUAUUUGAUGGAAGGAUUAAGUGAGAAUGUUUUACAUCAAAAAUGCUGUGUAACUAGAAGAUUACUAGGAUAGAUGUUGGAAUUCAUCUACUGCCAGAAAGUUCCAGCACAGGACACCAGCAUCCA
RNAcentral lists this small RNA (732 nucleotides) under Pan troglodytes (chimpanzee). RNAcentral describes it as "retained intron". The record is from RNAcentral. Lineage: Eukaryota; Metazoa; Chordata; Mammalia; Primates; Hominidae.